This 492-nucleotide ribosomal RNA is filed under the name uncultured Eubacteriales bacterium. RNAcentral describes it as "bacterial SSU rRNA". It matches the Rfam family "Bacterial small subunit ribosomal RNA", at positions 1 to 507 of the family's 1533-position model. The record is from RNAcentral. Lineage: Bacteria; Bacillati; Bacillota; Clostridia; Eubacteriales.
AGUAGUUGUACUCGUCGAUAGAGAUAACGCUGGCGGCGCACAUAAGACAUGCAAGUCGAACGGACUUAACGAAGUAUUUAUAUUUUGGAGCGGUUAGUGGCGGACUGGUGAGUAACACGUAAGCAACCUGCCUAUUAGAGGGGAAUAACAGUGAGAAAUCAUUGCUAAUACCGCAUAUGCUGUGAGUAUCGCAUGGUACAAACAGGAAAGGAGCAAUCCGCUAAUAGAUGGGCCUGCGUCUGAUUAGAUAGUUGGUGGGGUAAUGGCCUACCAAGUCGACGAUCAGUAGCCGAACUGAGAGGUUGAACGGCCACAUUGGGACUGAGAUACGGCCCAGACUCCUACGGGAGGCAGCAGUCGGGAAUAUUGCACAAUGGAGGAAACUCUGAUGCAGUGACGCCGCGUGCAGGAAGAAGGUUUUCGGAUUGUAAACUGCUUUAGAUAGGGAAGAAAAAGACAGUACCUAUAGAAUAAGCUCCGGCUAACUACGUG